Athalia rosae (coleseed sawfly) is the source of this 2378-nucleotide long non-coding RNA. RefSeq lists it as uncharacterized. Lineage: Eukaryota; Metazoa; Arthropoda; Insecta; Hymenoptera; Athaliidae. The transcript is spliced from 2 exons. The record is from RefSeq and is a predicted model, not a curated record.
CAACUUUAUUUAUCUCCCUCUUUAUUAUUCUCCUGCUUCUUCGUCGUCUUCUGUAUUUUGAUAUCUCUUUCCUUUUUUCGUUGUUUUGUUUACUUCUAAUUUUACACGUUGACGAAACCCUUUGACUCGUUAUUUAUUUAUAGCAGCGAAACAGACUAGAAAUAAUUUUUAACCCACCCGCGACAACCUCGGGGGGGGGGGGGGGGGGGCGCGGGUGGAACUGUAUAUUUGAUAUUUCUUAUUAUUUUUAUUGGGAGGUAUUAAUAAACGCUCGCUAAUCGUGCAAAGCUUAAACUACGACAUUUCCAGUUUAACGUAAAAACUGAACAAACAUUUUUAUUUCGCUUCUCAUGAAAGGUCAUCGGACGAAAUAAUAGCGUAUGCAUUACAGGGUGUUUCGUUUUUAUUUUUUUUUCCUCUUCUCACCCCAAAAUCUAAAAGAAAUUCGGAGUGACUUCGAGGCUUUGCUGAUCCAAAAAUUGGAAUUCUUAGAUUUUUUUCUUCCAAAGGGGAUAUUUUUUUAUGUACAAACCCCAAUAUGUUGAAAUGAUAAAUGUCGAUUUAAAUAUUUAUAUAGGAAUUUCUAAAACUCUACGGCUACGUUGAAGUGGAUAAUAUCCGUUGGUAUACGGUAUGAGUACGAUGAAUAAGGAAUGCAGGAGCGGAAUACGGCGACUAAAACGAGUGCUUUGAGGAAAAGAUAUUCUAGCAGACGACUAGACGGAACGGGAACGAUGACAUUUGCGACUACGCGACGUCGUCGACGUCAUUUUCACGUUUAAAAGAAACGCGAAAAGUUUUGGGGAAAUGAAAAAAAAAACACUCGAAAACUUAUAAAGAUUAUUUAUUCGGCGCGAAUUCGAUCGGGGGGGUCAAACCGAACUGAAACAAAAUAAAGAAUGGGUGAAAUGAAUUGAUGAGAAAAAAAAAAAUGGACAACCGUCUAUCGUAUAAGUAGCAGCAGCGGCGUCAGUAGUUGUAACGGUAGCUACUUAAAUUUAUUUCUACCUAAAUAAAACUCAGCCCGAUGAAUUUUCGAAAGGGUUUUACCGUCUAAAUGAAUAAUGCACACGCUGGACGGAAUUCAAGGUGUAUAUCUAUACCCGUCAACUUUGGACCAAUUUAAAUCCUCUUUCCCCUCUUUUAACUCCUGCAGGACGACGAUGCUCUUCAACGUUAUCGCAUAUAUAUGUAUAUAUAUAUAUCAUCUAUCCGACCCCGUGAUACGAUUGAAAUAGGAAGACUCGCGUCGUUCGUCGCUUUUAAUCGUUUCUACCGAAGGAUCAAACAAAGUUUUAUUCUAUUUCAUUCCUUUAUUUUCACCUUCGUUAUCUCCGACACCAGAAGGAUUCCCGAGUCCCGAAACAAAAAAUUAUUAUCGCCGAGUCCGUUUCUUUUCGUUUCCGUCUGUAGGUAGGACAAACUUAAUCUCCGCAGUCCGCGCCGCUCUCGUCUGCAUUCUCUUGCAGAAAAUCAAGAAGAAACAAAAAAUUACCAAAGAGAAUAAAUUUCAAUUGCACGAGUAGAUCUUUGGAAAUAUCGAGGGUGAAAAAAAUUUAGGCAUACUGUAAAACACCCUUAGACGCGAAUUUUAUUUCGAUCGUUUUCAAAUCGGCAAUGAAUGUCCCCGAGCAAUUUACCAGACGAGGAUUCCAUGUUUUUCUUCUCCUUUCUAAUAAUUUAUUCAUCAUUCCAGUUCGGUGACGGAGACGUGACGAUACGGGAUGAGGAUUUUGUCUUUUAUUUUUUCGACUCUAACGAAGUAAAAAUUAUUCCUUCUUCAUUUUUUGAGUCGUGAGGUCGAAAGUGUGUUUGCACGAUAUAGUACGGUAUAUUUUCAUCCCUAAUUUGAGCGGCGACUUUGUACUUUGCCUGCCGCGCCCCGUACGCCCCGUACGCCCUGUGCCGCCCACGUUCUUAAGAGAAAACUAAUGACUAAUUAGAGACAGCGCUGCAGCUCACAGAGAUCCGUAGAAGAAAUAAUACGAAAAGUAGCGAGUAAAAAAAAAAUAAAAUAAAAUCAUAAAAAAAAAAAAAAAAAAAAAAAAAAAAAAAACAACAAAAUCCUAAAGUAAAAGAGGAGAAAUAAUAUCAGAAUAAAAUCGCAAAGGGAGGUUACCCCGAAGCGAGUAUGCAUGUAUGUGUAUCAUACCGCGGUGGUACUUAAUAUGAUAUUCAGAUCGCAUGUCCCGGCAUAUCGCAUGCCCCAGGGAUAUUUUAUUCAGUUUUUCGGUGUCUGGAUGAAAUUUUCUUUUUUUUCUCCUUUUAUUUUACCUUUUUCAUUUUAUUUUAGAAAAAAAAAACGAGAGAUGAUUAUGAAUAAUUUAUCAUCUUCUUGUUAUUCGGGGGCACAGAGAUAAUCGUAACGUCGAAUCGGA